CACACUCCGGUCGUCCGAUCCCAGCUCUAGACCACUAGCUGCGUGAGCUGGAGCAAGGGCUGAGCCUCUCUGAUUCUUCAUGUGUUAAAAAAAAAAAAAAAAGUUGAGAAAAGCUGAAAUUGGUAAGGCUGGUCCUGGGAACACGCUCACCCCCUCCUCUACAGCUCCCCCCAGCGCGCGCUUCUCCUUUCCAGCCUGAAGUCUCCUCCGUCGUUGUCACCGUGACAUUCAGCACACCCACAAGAAGAACGCUGUCCCCGGAAGCUGCCGUGAGAAGUCUGAGGUCCCAUGAAAGGAACUAAGAGGGAGACGUUAAGGAGAAGGGACCCGGGACAGGCUUGAAUGGAACGGCUGCCUCCCUCAGCCCAGGCCUCUCCUGACGGGAAUGAUGAAGCGGUGGGGAGACAGCGGAUUGAAAGAGAAGUCGGCUCAGCGGGGAAGCUCAGAUUGCCUUCCCGGACCACAGGCUGGGAACCAGGAGAGGAGACUGCGAGAUUGACAGGCCCGGUGCUGUCUGUAAUUAGAAAAUAAAUUACUUUGCCUCAAAGAAGCACGCUUGGUCCUAGCAGCAGGAUAAGGGGAUCAGAGGCGAGGAGCCAUCCACAGCCUGACGGGUGCAGAGCCAGCGCCUAUCAGCCUGUCCAGGCGGCCGAGGCCCCGACGAGGUGAGGGGGCAGGGGUCCGGGGCG
This 689-nucleotide long non-coding RNA is filed under the name Bos indicus x Bos taurus (hybrid cattle). Its description in RNAcentral is "lncRNA (ENSBIXG00000007409.1)". The record is from RNAcentral. Lineage: Eukaryota; Metazoa; Chordata; Mammalia; Artiodactyla; Bovidae.